This 239-nucleotide ribosomal RNA is filed under the name uncultured bacterium. Its description in RNAcentral is "partial 16S ribosomal RNA". It matches the Rfam family "Bacterial small subunit ribosomal RNA", at positions 95 to 334 of the family's 1533-position model. The record is from RNAcentral.
CCGGCGCACGGGUGAGUAACACGUAUCCAACCUGCCGUCUACUCUUGGCCAGCCUUCUGAAAGGAAGAUUAAUCCAGGAUGGGAUCAUGAGUUCACAUGUCCGCAUGAUUAAAGGUAUUCCGGUAGACGAUGGGGAUGCGUUCCAUUAGAUAGUAGGCGGGGUAACGGCCCACCUAGUCUUCGAUGGAUAGGGGUUCUGAGAGGAAGGUCCCCCACAUUGGAACUGAGACACGGUCCAA